UGGCGAUGGGCAUGAUGGGGUUCUUCGUCAUUCACCCCAAGGACCCGGCGUUCAUGCGGGUGGAUCGUGACUUCGUGUUUCUGCUCAGUACCUACGACAUCGAUCCGGGGACCUAUCUCCCGAAGGUCUCGGAGAUGACCGACUUCAACAUGUGGACCUUCAACACGCGGGUCUUCCCCGNNNNNNUGGUCGUGCGCAAGAACGAUCGCGUGCGGGUUCGCGUCGGCAAUCUGACCAUGACCAAUCAUCCGAUUCACAUGCAUGGUUACGAUUUUGAGGUGACUUGCACGGAUGGCGGAUGGGUCAGGCCGGAAGCGCGUUGGCCCGAAGUCACCAUCGACAUUCCGGUCGGCGCCAU
Molecule: unclassified non-coding RNA, 358 nt
Filed under: Hevea brasiliensis (rubber tree)
Lineage: Eukaryota; Viridiplantae; Streptophyta; Magnoliopsida; Malpighiales; Euphorbiaceae
Source: RNAcentral